GUAGGGUGCAGGCGUUAAUCGGAAUUACUGGGCGUAAAGCGUGCGCAGGCGGUUUGCUAAGACAGGUGUGAAAUCCCCGGGCUUAACCUGGGAACUGCGCUUGUAACUGGCAAGCUAGAGUGUGGCAGAGGGGGGUGGAAUUCCACGUGUAGCAGUGAAAUGCGUAGAGAUGUGGAGGAACACCGAUGGCGAAGGCAGCCCCCUGGGCUAACACUGACGCUCAUGCACGAAAGCGUGGGGAGCAAACAGGAUUAGAUACCCUGGUAGUCCACGCCCUAAACUAUGUCAACUGGUUGUCGGGGAAGCAAUUCCUUGGUAACGAAGCUAACGCGUGAAGUUGACCGCCUGGGGAGUACGGCCGCAAGGUUAAA
Molecule: ribosomal RNA, 371 nt
Filed under: uncultured bacterium
Lineage: Bacteria
Description: bacterial SSU rRNA
Rfam family: Bacterial small subunit ribosomal RNA
Source: RNAcentral